GAAAGCCGAGACGGCGCGGGAUGGGGUCGCGGCCCAUUAGGUAGACGGCGGGGUAACGGCCCACCGUGCCCGCGAUGGGUAGCCGGACUGAGAGGUCGACCGGCCACAUUGGGACUGAGAUACGGCCCAGACUCCUACGGGAGGCAGCAGUGGGGAAUUUUGCGCAAUGGGGGAAACCCUGACGCAGCAACGCCGCGUGCGGGACGAAGGCCCUCGGGUUGUAAACCGCUUUCAGCAGGGAAGAUCCAAGACGGUACCUGCAGAAGAAGCUCCGGCUAACUACGUGCCAGCAGCCGCGGUAAUACGUAGGGGGCGAGCGUUAUCCGGAUUCAUUGGGCGUAAAGCGCGCGUAGGCGGCCGCCUAAGCGGGACCUCUAACCCCGGGGCUCAACCCCGGGCCGGGUCCCGGACUGGGCGGCUCGAGUGCGGUAGAGGAGAGCGGAAUUCCCGGUGUAGCGGUGGAAUGCGCAGAUAUCGGGAAGAACACCGAUGGCGAAGGCAGCUCUCUGGGCCGUCACUGACGCUGAGGCGCGAAAGCUGGGGGAGCGAACAGGAUUAGAUACCCUGGUAGUCCCAGCCGUAAACGAUGGGCGCUAGGUGUGGGGGGACGAUCCCUCCGUGCC
RNAcentral lists this ribosomal RNA (623 nucleotides) under uncultured bacterium. Its description in RNAcentral is "bacterial SSU rRNA". It matches the Rfam family "Bacterial small subunit ribosomal RNA", at positions 202 to 847 of the family's 1533-position model. The record is from RNAcentral.